UUUCCAAACUUUGGGUGAUGGAAGAAGCUCUUAUGAGGGAUUGGUGGCCAUUUUCCAAAAUACUUGGGGUGGUGGAAGAAGCUCUUUGGAGGCAAUGGAGGCCAUUUUCCAUACUUAGGGUGAUGGAAAAAGCUCUUUGGAGGCAAUUUUCCGAACUUGGGGUGAUGGAAAAAGCUCUUUGGAGGCAAUGGAGGGAGCGUUGGAAGAGGUGGACAUGGUGGUUUCUUGAAUGGAGGAAGAAUAACUGGUGGUUUGUAUAUUGGAACAACGGGUGGCUUUGGAAUUACUACUGGAGGCUUAUAUAUUGGAACAGGUGGUAGAACUGGGUGCUCAAUCUUUGGUGGACAUGGUUUCUUGAUCGGGACUGGUGGUGGAAGUGCCUUUGGAACCGGUGGAGGUUUGUAUACUGGAACAGGUGGUAAAACUGGAUGUUCAACCUUUGGUGGUGGACAUGGUUUCUUGACCGGAACCGGUGGUGGUUGUGGCUUUGGAACUGGAGGAGGUUUGUAUACUGGAGCAGGUGGUAGAACUGGAUGUUCAACCUUUGGUGGUGGACAUGGUUUCUUGACUGGAACAGGAGGAGGAAGAGGUUUAUGAUAUACAGGCGUAGGUGGAGGGAGAGGUUUAUGAUAAACAGGCACAGGUGGAGGAAGAGGUUUCUCAUACACAGGUGUAGGUGGAGGGAGAGGUUUAUGGUAAACAGGCACAGGCGGAGGAAGAGGUUUCUCGUAGACAGGUGUAGGUGGAGGAAGAGGUUUCUCAUAAACAGGUGUAGGAGGAGGGAUAGGUUUUUCAUAGAUAGGCACAGGUGGAGGACAAGGUUUCUUGUAGAUAGGAAUAUGAGGAAAGGGAGGUUUGUAAAUAGGAAUAUGAGAAAAUGGAGGUUUCUUGUAGAUAGGAACAGGAGGAAAAAGAGGGUGUUUAUGGAAAAUCUUUGGUGGAAAUGUUGGAAAAACUUUAGGGGGAAAUUGAGGUAAAUCAGGAUGAGGAAGCUUAGGAAAAAGAGGAUGUUUGAAGAGAGGCCAAAAGAAUUUGGAG
This 1038-nucleotide long non-coding RNA is filed under the name Medicago truncatula (barrel medic). RNAcentral describes it as "long non-coding RNA (MTRU_LNC002035)". Lineage: Eukaryota; Viridiplantae; Streptophyta; Magnoliopsida; Fabales; Fabaceae. The record is from RNAcentral.